Molecule: long non-coding RNA, 1871 nt
Filed under: Stegodyphus dumicola
Lineage: Eukaryota; Metazoa; Arthropoda; Arachnida; Araneae; Eresidae
Description: uncharacterized LOC118199604
Source: RNAcentral
AAGUAGGUUCCACUUUGUUUUGCAGUAAAGCGGAGAGGGGGAGAUAAUUUGACUUAAUAUGUGUUUCUACCACUCGCAGUGAAUCAGACACAUUACUAGAAAUAAACUUAUGUUAUUUGAGCCAGAAACGGAAGAAAUCAACUAACUCCUUGCCCAGAUUCGAACGCCAGAUCUUCCGAUUGCUAACCGGACAUGCUACGAAAUUAUACCACAAGAUGCGCAAAAGCAACAUUGAAGAAAAAAAUGGAAUACGAAGUAUGGAUCAGCUUAUUGCUGAACAAUAUUUAUAUUAUUUUUGGCAACCAAGCCUGGGGAAUAUUUCUGAAUGAACCACGAAAAAGGAAUGAAAACUAUAUUAUUACAAGAUAUAGAGACUGGAUGGACAAAGCACUAUGAAGAUUGAAGAAUUUCUGUAGAAAUUAUUAGCGCGAGCUGGGCAAGGAAAGUAAAUGGACUUUUUAAUCAAUCAGAUUGAAAAGUAAAAUAAUACAUUAUUAAAAAUUUAAUUUGAUGCAUAAGUCGUCUAAUUUGUUAACCAGAAACAGAUAAAGUUUGAAAGUUAACUAUUUAACACGUUGAAAGAGAUAGGGAUUCUCACAAUUCUAAUAAUCCAAUAAUUUGCUUUUUAUCCAGAAUGUUUUUCAACUAUAUUGACUUCCCUUAGCGGAUAUAUAUAGUAAUUUUCCACGUAACCGACACCCAGUUAACCGUUAAUAUCGAAAUAACAAUACUUUUGAAAUAUAAAUAGGAAUCCAAAAUUUAUGAUAAUGAGAUAAUAAACUAUAUAAUAAGCCUUAAAUGUUGAAAACAUUUGUGUAGGCCAAGGUAACAAGGCACAUCCUAUUAAUAAAUUGUUCAGAAUAUAAAGAUAAAUCAUUGGUUCCUUUAUUUGCCUCGAUGCGUGAACUCUCUCUCUCUCUCUCUAUAUAUAUAUAUAUAUGUACAGUGGAACCUAGCAUCAUAAAAGCCUCAUUUGACCACCAAUUCGGUUCAAGAAGAAAUUAUCUGAGUAGAAAAUGCCUUGAAUAACGAACAAUAUCUCGAGUUCUAAACUCUCAAUUCGGCAAUAUAUAGUUUUGAAAUGUGUUUUGAUGUGAACUAUACUACAUAAUUGACACUCGUGUCCUUCUGGAAGCAUCGUUUUAACAUUUUUAAUCUUUUUGUGAACAAAAGCUGUCAGAAAGAUACUUACAAGACAGCUGUUUCAACCUGUAGUAGUAGCAGGCCAGUUUGGAUUACCAGGAGGAGAUUUUGUCCACGUUGCCAUUUUGAACGUUUUUUCAUAUCUAUGAUACUGGGUCUCUAAGCAAAAGCAUUGAUUAGGAAAAUAACAUUGAACAUGGGGAGAAGUUAAAGAUUCACAAAAAUUAUCCCAACAAGAAAGAACUGCAGCAACUUCUGAGGCAGUAACAAAAGACGGCUGUGGAAGAAAUGUCUUCAGAAGAAAAGGAAAGAACAAAGAUGAUCUUAGUUCUCAGAUUCGUAAAACACGUGCAAAAGAGGAGUGGAAAGCUACAGCAUAUGCAUUUCCAAUGACAAUGCCAUGUCUUACUUUAGAAACAUUUUAAAACAUUGGCAACAUGGAAAACUAUUGGAAAAACUGUGAAUGAAACAGAAGCCCCAUGAUCAGUGAGCAAGCAAAGUCUAAUUGAAAUUUUUUAAAAAAGGGGAGGAGGAUAAAAGAAGAUAUCCCUAAAAGAUGCUUUCAUGGUAGGGAAUUAUGCAUCAAAACACCAACAUCUUGCUCAUCAUUCUCCACUUAUGCUAUUUUCUUUUUGCAUUAAAUCACUAACAUCUUCCUCAUCAUUCUGUACGUAUACUAUUUCCUUUGACAUUCUUCUUUGUACAACUGCAAUAAAAUUAAAUAAAGU